GGAGGCUCGGGUUCGAUUCCCGGUACGG
Molecule: small RNA, 28 nt
Filed under: Bombyx mori (domestic silkworm)
Lineage: Eukaryota; Metazoa; Arthropoda; Insecta; Lepidoptera; Bombycidae
Description: ovarian small RNA-5433
Source: RNAcentral